UCGAGGGGCAGCGGGGCGGCAGGCUUGCCUGCCGCCGCCGGCGACCGGCGCACGGGUGAGUAACACGUAUGCAACCUGCCCGUGGCAGGGGGAUAAGCGGGGGAAACCCCGUCUAAUACCGCGUAACGCGGCCUAGGGACAUCCCAAGGCCGCCAAAGGGAGCAAUCCCGGCCACGGAUGGGCAUGCGGCGCAUUAGCUAGUCGGCGGGGUAACGGCCCACCGAGGCGACGAUGCGUAGGGGUUCUGAGAGGAAGGCCCCCCACACUGGUACUGAGACACGGACCAGACUCCUACGGGAGGCAGCAGUGAGGAAUAUUGGUCAAUGGGCGCGAGCCUGAACCAGCCAAGUCGCGUGAGGGAGGACGGCCCUACGGGUUGCAAACCUCUUUUGCCGGGGAGCAACGGGCGCCACGUGUGGCGCCACUGAGAGUACCCGGAGAAAAAGCAUCGGCUAACUCCGUGCCAGCAGCCGCGGUAAUACGGAGGAUGCGAGCGUUAUCCGGAUUUAUUGGGUUUAAAGGGUGCGUAGGCGGAUCGUUAAGUCAGUGGUCAAAUUGAGGGGCUCAACCCCUUCCCGCCAUUGAAACUGGCGAUCUUGAGUGGAAGAGAAGUAUGCGGAAUGCGUGGUGUAGCGGUGAAAUGCAUAGAUAUCACGCAGAACCCCGAUUGCGAAGGCAGCAUGCCGGCUUCCUACUGACGCUGAAGCACGAAAGCGUGGGAAUCGAACAGGAUUAGAUACCCUGGUAGUCCACGCGGUAAACGAU
This 765-nucleotide ribosomal RNA is filed under the name uncultured bacterium. Its description in RNAcentral is "bacterial SSU rRNA". It matches the Rfam family "Bacterial small subunit ribosomal RNA", at positions 62 to 810 of the family's 1533-position model. The record is from RNAcentral.